AACGCCAGACAAAACUGGUUUUCACAAUGAUCGUCCAGAUGGACCUGAAGUCUGAGAUCAUUGUGAAAGCUGAUUUUGUUGA
Non-coding RNA from Ixodes scapularis (black-legged tick), 82 nucleotides. NCBI's taxonomy places the organism in Eukaryota, Metazoa, Arthropoda, Arachnida, Ixodida, Ixodidae. The record is from Rfam.